RNAcentral lists this long non-coding RNA (1126 nucleotides) under Nicotiana benthamiana. RNAcentral describes it as "long non-coding RNA (NBEN_LNC034022)". Lineage: Eukaryota; Viridiplantae; Streptophyta; Magnoliopsida; Solanales; Solanaceae. The record is from RNAcentral.
UCAUCCCGAGUCAUAUUAUUACGAGGAUAAUCACUAGAGAAACCAGAAAGCUUUAUGACGCAUGUUAUGCGUCUUGGCAGGAAUACUCAUUCUCACUGAAGGAGGCAAUUUUCAAUGAAUUUAAGGUAUAAAUAUUCUGUUUAGCAGCAUAAUUAUUUAUAUUUAUGAUAUUUCCAUAUAAUAUUUAACUUUUGAAAUACACAGCAAGUGUGCAUAAGAACACCAGUAUAGCGCGGACGUGGCUACAAGUUUUCAUCUGAAACAUCGCAAGCGGUUGUCUCAUAUUUUCUCCAAAGCUAGACAGAUAAACCAGAAGCCUGACUGGUUGCUUCAGAUUUUUUGGGAUGAUUUUCAAAUGCAAUGAUUUACUGCAGAUUUCUUAGAGAAGAACGAAAAAGGAAAGAAAGCUCGCGCAUCUGAGAAGGUAAGAUCCUUGCACACUAGAGGUGCAGUCAUCCUGGGGACAAUAAAAAGAACCAUGAUACAUAAUUGCUUAAUUUAUUUUAAUUUUAAAAGCAUAUCAAUUCUAUUAAUUAAUUAUAAUUUAUGAGUUUUUAGGAAAUGAAGUUGGGUCGUCCGAUGAACCAAGAUGAGCUAUUCAAAGAGACUCAUAUUGAGAAGAAGAAGAAAGAGACAUAUCAAGAAAGAUGGGUCUAGGGGCGAGCCUCGGCUAUACAUGUAAGUUUUCACUUUUCAGAAAAUCUCCUAGCUUCUAGAUAUUUUCCGAUUCCCCGCUCUCGGCCAUCAUCGGUAGAGGCUAGCCGUCCCCAUGGUCGUUCUCCCGUCCCCCAAGUGGUCGUUCCUCCCGUUCUCCCCGUAAUCAUUCUUCUCAUCAUCGACAAGUAGACCCUUCUCUAUGCCGUCAUGAUGAUGAAAGUUCAUCAGGCGGUGAUGAUAAUGAUGUACCAAACAUUGAUACUUUUUUGCCAAUUUUAACUACACAAAUACAGUCGUUUUUUAUUGGGUUGUAAUAAGAGUAGUUAACUUAGUUUGGUAGUUCUAUUGUACUUUACGCUUUUUUGGUUUUAAUGUUGUUUUUGUGUUGUUGAUGUUGUUGUUGGGUUGUUGUUUGGUGUUGUUGUUGGAAUUAUAGUUAGAAUUGUUGUUGUUGUUGCUUGGUAUUGUU